AACGAACGCUGGCGGCGUGCUUAACACAUGCAAGUCGAACGAGAAAGUCCUUCGGGAUGAGUAGAGUGGCGCACGGGUGAGUAAUGCAUAGGAACGUACCGAUAAGUGGGGAAUAACUACGGGAAACUGUAGCUAAUACCGCAUGUGAUAUUAAUUAAAGGUGGCCUCUACUUGUAAGCUACCGCUUAUCGAUCGGCCUAUGUCCCAUUAGCUAGUUGGCGGGGUAAUGGCCCACCAAGGCAACGAUGGGUAGCUGGUCUGAGAGGAUGAUCAGCCACACUGGGACUGAGACACGGCCCAGACUCCUACGGGAGGCAGCAGUGGGGAAUAUUGCACAAUGGGCGCAAGCCUGAUGCAGCAACGCCGCGUGAGUGAAGAAGGCCCUCGGGUCGUAAAGCUCUUUCGACAGAGAAGAAGGGUGGUAUGGUGAACAAUCAUGCUGCUUGACGGUACCUGUAUAAGAAGCACUGGCUAACUCCGUGCCAGCAGCCGCAGUAA
Molecule: ribosomal RNA, 498 nt
Filed under: uncultured bacterium
Lineage: Bacteria
Description: partial 16S ribosomal RNA
Rfam family: Bacterial small subunit ribosomal RNA
Source: RNAcentral